GAUGAACGCUGGCGGCGUGCCUAAUACAUGCAAGUCGAGCGAACGGACGAGAAGCUUGCUUCUCUGAUGUUAGCGGCGGACGGGUGAGUAACACGUGGAUAACCUACCUAUAAGACUGGGAUAACUUCGGGAAACCGGAGCUAAUACCGGAUAAUAUUUUAAACCGCAUGGUUCAAAAGUGAAAGACGGUCUUGCUGUCACUUAUAGAUGGAUCCGCGCUGCAUUAGCUAGUUGGUAAGGUAACGGCUUACCAAGGCAGCGAUGCAUAGCCGACCUGAGAGGGUGAUCGGCCACACUGGAACUGAGACACGGUCCAGACUCCUACGGGAGGCAGCAGUAGGGAAUCUUCCGCAAUGGGCGAAAGCCUGACGGAGCAACGCCGCGUGAGUGAUGAAGGUCUUCGGAUCGUAAAACUCUGUUAUUAGGGAAGAACAUAUGUGUAAGUAACUGUGCACAUCUUGACGGUACCUAAUCAGAAAGCCACGGCUAACUACGUG
This 497-nucleotide ribosomal RNA is filed under the name uncultured bacterium. RNAcentral's name for it is "partial 16S ribosomal RNA". It matches the Rfam family "Bacterial small subunit ribosomal RNA", at positions 28 to 507 of the family's 1533-position model. The record is from RNAcentral.